UACGUAGGGCGCAAGCGUUGUCCGGAAUUAUUGGGCGUAAAGAGCUCGUAGGCGGUUUGUCGCGUCUGCUGUGAAAACUCAGGGCUUAACCCUGAGCUUGCAGUGGGUACGGGCAGACUAGAGUGCGGUAGGGGAGACUGGAAUUCCUGGUGUAGCGGUGAAAUGCGCAGAUAUCAGGAGGAACACCGGUGGCGAAGGCGGGUCUCUGGGCCGUAACUGACGCUGGAGGAGCGGAAAGCAUGGGAGCGAACAG
RNAcentral lists this ribosomal RNA (253 nucleotides) under uncultured bacterium. Its description in RNAcentral is "partial 16S ribosomal RNA". It matches the Rfam family "Bacterial small subunit ribosomal RNA", at positions 524 to 775 of the family's 1533-position model. The record is from RNAcentral.